RNAcentral lists this ribosomal RNA (445 nucleotides) under uncultured bacterium. RNAcentral's name for it is "bacterial SSU rRNA". It matches the Rfam family "Bacterial small subunit ribosomal RNA", at positions 354 to 796 of the family's 1533-position model. The record is from RNAcentral.
GUAAGGAAUAUUGGACAAUGGACGCAAGUCUGAUCCAGCCAUGCCGCGUGAAGGAUUAAGGUCCUCUGGAUUGUAAACUUCUUUUAUAAGGGACGAAAAAAGGCUUUUCUAAGUCGUCUGACGGUACCUUAUGAAUAAGCACCGGCUAACUCCGUGCCAGCAGCCGCGGUAAUACGGAGGGUGCAAGCGUUAUCCGGAUUCACUGGGUUUAAAGGGUGCGUAGGCGGGCAGGUAAGUCAGUGGUGAAUUCCUAGAGCUUAACUCUAGAACUGCAAUAGAUACUAUCUGUCUUGAAUAUUGUGGAGGUAAGCGGAAUAUGUCAUGUAGCGGUGAAAUGCUUAGAUAUGACAUAGAACACCUAUUGCGAAGGCAGCUUACUACGCAUAUAUUGACGCUGAGGCACGAAAGCGUGGGGAUCAAACAGGAUUAGAAACCCUAGUAGUCC